This 253-nucleotide ribosomal RNA is filed under the name uncultured bacterium. RNAcentral describes it as "partial 16S ribosomal RNA". It matches the Rfam family "Bacterial small subunit ribosomal RNA", at positions 524 to 776 of the family's 1533-position model. The record is from RNAcentral.
UACAGAGGUCUCAAGCGUUGUUCGGAUUCAUUGGGCGUAAAGGGUGCGUAGGCGGCGCGGUAAGUCGGGUGUGAAAUCUCGGAGCUUAACUCCGAAACUGCAUUCGAUACUGCCGUGCUUGAGGACUGGAGAGGAGACUGGAACUGCGAGUGUAGAGGUGAAAUUCGUAGAUAUUCGCAAGAACACCAGUGGCGAAGGCGGCUCACUGGCCCGAUACUGACGCUGAGGCACGAAAGCGUGGGGAGCAAACAGG